GAUGAACGCUGACAGAAUGCUUAACACAUGCAAGUCUACUUGAAUUUGGGUUUUUUAACUUAGAUUUGGGUGGCGGACGGGUGAGUAACGCGUAAAGAACUUGCCUCACAGCUAGGGACAACAUUCGGAAACGAAUGCUAAUACCUGAUAUUAUGAUUUUAAGGCAUCUUAGAAUUAUGAAAGCUAUAAGCGCUGUGAGAGAGCUUUGCGUCCCAUUAGCUAGUUGGAGAGGUAACUGCUCACCAAGGCGAUGAUGGGUAGCCGGCCUGAGAGGGUGAUCGGCCACAAGGGGACUGAGACACGGCCCUUACUCCUACGGGAGGCAGCAGUGGGGAAUAUUGGACAAUGGACCAAGAGUCUGAUCCAGCAAUUCUGUGUGCACGAUGAAGUUUUUCGGAAUGUAAAGUGCUUUCAGUUGGGAAGAAAGAAAUGACGG
This 436-nucleotide ribosomal RNA is filed under the name Fusobacterium sp. oral taxon 205. RNAcentral's name for it is "bacterial SSU rRNA". It matches the Rfam family "Bacterial small subunit ribosomal RNA", at positions 28 to 475 of the family's 1533-position model. Lineage: Bacteria; Fusobacteriati; Fusobacteriota; Fusobacteriia; Fusobacteriales; Fusobacteriaceae. The record is from RNAcentral.